AGCUUUGUGCAGUGGCAGUAUCGUCGCCAAUGAGGUUUAUCCGAGGCAUGAUUAUUGCUAAUUGUAAACUUUUCCCAAUACCCUGCCAUGAUGACUUGAAACACAUUUGGUUACAUUUGGUUUACAGACUGAUGG
Lepus europaeus (European hare) is the source of this 135-nucleotide small nuclear RNA. RefSeq annotates it as U4 spliceosomal RNA. NCBI's taxonomy places the organism in Eukaryota, Metazoa, Chordata, Mammalia, Lagomorpha, Leporidae. The record is from RefSeq and is a predicted model, not a curated record. The transcript has a single exon.